This 239-nucleotide long non-coding RNA is filed under the name Elaeis guineensis (African oil palm). RNAcentral's name for it is "long non-coding RNA (EGUI_LNC030106)". Lineage: Eukaryota; Viridiplantae; Streptophyta; Magnoliopsida; Arecales; Arecaceae. The record is from RNAcentral.
UUCCGUAGUUCUUAUUUUAUUUUUAUUUUGCCUUUGAUACUUAUAAUCGGACUUUGGCCCAAUUUUGUAAGUCUAAUUUCAACUAAAUGAAAUUAAAAACUUUUCAAACUUUUUUUUGCAUGCGGUUCAAAGUGUAUGUCUCACCGAGCCAUCCCCGAGAGUAUAAGUUGUAGCCCCAACAUACCUCGUUAGGACAUUUGGUAGGAUUCAGCGUAGUUGAUCAAGGUAGUCAGUAGCAC